RNAcentral lists this ribosomal RNA (722 nucleotides) under uncultured Fusobacterium sp. RNAcentral describes it as "bacterial SSU rRNA". It matches the Rfam family "Bacterial small subunit ribosomal RNA", at positions 28 to 776 of the family's 1533-position model. The record is from RNAcentral. Lineage: Bacteria; Fusobacteriati; Fusobacteriota; Fusobacteriia; Fusobacteriales; Fusobacteriaceae.
GAUGAACGCUGACAGAAUGCUUAACACAUGCAAGUCUACUUGAACUUCGGUUUGGGUGGCGGACGGGUGAGUAACGCGUAAAGAACUUGCCUCACAGAUAGGGACAACAUUUGGAAACGAAUGCUAAUACCUGAUAUUAUGAUUUUAGGGCAUCCUAGAAUUAUGAAAGCUAUAUGCACUGUGAGAGAGCUUUGCGUCCCAUUAGCUAGUUGGAGAGGUAACGGCUCACCAAGGCGAUGAUGGGUAGCCGGCCUGAGAGGGUAAUCGGCCACAAGGGGACUGAGACACGGCCCUUACUCCUACGGGAGGCAGCAGUGGGGAAUAUUGGACAAUGGACCAAGAGUCCGAUCCAGCAAUUCUGUGUGCACGAUGAAGUUUUUCGGAAUGUAAAGUGCUUUCAGUUGGGAAGAAAAAAAUGACGGUACCAACAGAAGAAGUGACGGCUAAAUACGUGCCAGCAGCCGCGGUAAUACGUAUGUCACAAGCGUUAUCCGGAUUUAUUGGGCGUAAAGCGCGUCUAGGUGGUUAUGUAAGUCUGAUGUGAAAAUGCAGGGCUCAACUCUGUAUUGCGUUGGAAACUGUGUAACUAGAGUACUGGAGAGGUAAGCGGAACUACAAGUGUAGAGGUGAAAUUUGUAGAUAUUUGUAGGAAUGCCGAUGGGGAAGCCAGCUUACUGGACAGAUACUGACGCUGAAGCGCGAAAGCGUGGGUAGCAAACAGG